This 325-nucleotide unclassified non-coding RNA is filed under the name Cimex lectularius (bed bug). RNAcentral's name for it is "Eukaryotic small subunit ribosomal RNA". It matches the Rfam family "Eukaryotic small subunit ribosomal RNA", at positions 1185 to 1396 of the family's 1831-position model. The record is from Rfam by way of RNAcentral. Lineage: Eukaryota; Metazoa; Arthropoda; Insecta; Hemiptera; Cimicidae.
GCGGCUUAAUUAGACUCAACACGGGAAACCUUACAAGGUCAGGGCAUUCGAAUGAUUGUCGAAUCAUUGGUAUCUGAUGAUUCAGCUUACCAACCAUGAUUGGUAGCUCCUCUUGAUUCAGUGGGUAGUGGUGCAUGGCCGUUCUUAGUUGGUGGAUCGAUUUGUCUGGUUAAUUCCGAUAACGAACGAGACUCUAGCCUAUUAACUAGACGCGUUUGGUAUCGAAUCUACCUGCGCCAACGGUUAAGGAGUUGACGCGGUGCUCAUCACUGUAAAGUUAAAGUCCCAGGUUUGAAUCCAGCGUCCCUACAUUCGAAGCCGACGC